Aegilops tauschii subsp. strangulata is the source of this 548-nucleotide long non-coding RNA. RefSeq lists it as uncharacterized. NCBI's taxonomy places the organism in Eukaryota, Viridiplantae, Streptophyta, Magnoliopsida, Poales, Poaceae. The record is from RefSeq and is a predicted model, not a curated record.
CAAAAAUAAGAAGUUAAUAAAAAUAAGCAGAUUUUUCUCACCCAGGGAAAGGACGGGGAUCCCGGGAGGAUCCCCUAUUACCAAAUGAGGAUAGAAAUCUUUAACUUCCAAAUCUAUAAAUAUCGCAUAUUCUCUCUGGCAUAACAGUACUUGCUCCAUAUCAAAACUAACAAGAGAAAGAACAGAAAAGAGAGAGUAUACUUGAUACUACGCCCAACACCAUCGAUUAUGGGUGCGAGAAAUGCUACCAUCUGCUUUGUGCUGAUCCUUGUGUUAUUCGUGAAUCAUGGUUCUGCAGAAAAAAAGUGCUGGGAAAAUACCUCUGGCAGUCCACUCUGUGUAGGCUUUCUAUGCAAGGCAACAUGCUCGAUUGCAGGCAAAAUGUUUAAUGCUGUCGUCAAGGAACACAAGUGUAUAGGAUCAGCAUUCAGUAGCCAAUGCUACUGCUAUCUCUGCGACAAAUAGUUUGUUGGCACAAAUGGUCAAAGAAACCACAGGCACUAGUUUGUAAUUUCUUGGUUUAGCAUAUAAAGGGGGUGAAUAAUUUA